UAGACGGGAGAUUAAGUCAGUUGUGAAAGGCUGCGGCUCAACCGCAGCACUGCAGUCGAUACUGGUUUCCUUGAGUGCGGUUGAGGUGUAUGGAAUUCGUGGUGUAGCGGUGAAAUGCUUAGAUAUCACGAAGAACUCCGAUUGCGAAGGCAGUACACUAAGCCGUAACUGACGUUGAGGCUCGAAAGUGUGGGUAUCAAACAGGAUUAGAUACCCUGGUAGUCCACACGGUAAACGAUGAAUACUCGCUGUUGGCGAUACAAUGUCAGCGGCCAAGCGAAAGCAUUAAGUAUUCCACCUGGGGAGUACGCCGGCAACGGUGAAACUCAAAGGAGUUGACGGGGGCCCGCACAAGCGGAGGAACAUGUGGUUUAAUUCGAUGAUACGCGAGGAACCUUACCCGGGCUUAAAUUGCACUGGACAGGCUCAGAGAUGGGCUCUUCUUCGGACCAGUGUGAAGGUGCUGCAUGGUUGUCGUCAGCUCGUGCCGUGAGGUGUCGGCUUAAGUGCCAUAACGAGCGCAACCCUUGCCAUUAGUUACUAACAGGUCAUGCUGAGGACUCUAGUGGGACUGCCAUCGUAAGAUGUGAGGAAGGUGGGGAUGACGUCAAAUCAGCACGGCCCUUACGUCCGGGGCUACACACGUGUUACAAUGGGAGGUACAGAAGGCCGCUACCCGGCGACGGGAUGCCAAUCCCCAAAACCUCUCUCAGUUCGGAUUGGAGUCUGCAACCCGACUCCAUGAAGCUGGAUUCGCUA
This 759-nucleotide ribosomal RNA is filed under the name uncultured Bacteroidota bacterium. RNAcentral describes it as "bacterial SSU rRNA". It matches the Rfam family "Bacterial small subunit ribosomal RNA", at positions 572 to 1337 of the family's 1533-position model. Lineage: Bacteria; Pseudomonadati; Bacteroidota. The record is from RNAcentral.